GACGUAGGAGGCGAGCGUUGUCCGGAUUCAUUGGGCGUAAAGAGCACGCAGGCGGUCGUUCAAGUCGCGUGUGAAAGCCCCCGGCUCAACUGGGGAGGGUCACGCGAUACUGAUCGACUCGAAGGCAGGAGAGGGUAGUGGAAUUCCCGGUGUAGUGGUGAAAUGCGUAGAUAUCGGGAGGAACACCAGUGGCGAAGGCGACUACCUGGCCUGUUCUUGACGCUGAGGCGCGAAAGCUAGGGGAGCAAACGGG
RNAcentral lists this ribosomal RNA (253 nucleotides) under uncultured bacterium. RNAcentral describes it as "partial 16S ribosomal RNA". It matches the Rfam family "Bacterial small subunit ribosomal RNA", at positions 524 to 776 of the family's 1533-position model. The record is from RNAcentral.